Molecule: microRNA precursor, 83 nt
Filed under: Callithrix jacchus (white-tufted-ear marmoset)
Lineage: Eukaryota; Metazoa; Chordata; Mammalia; Primates; Cebidae
Description: microRNA cja-mir-532 precursor
Gene: cja-mir-532
Rfam family: mir-532 microRNA precursor family
Source: miRBase by way of RNAcentral
GCUUUCUCUCCUCCAUGCCUUGAGUGUAGGACCGUUGGCAUCUUAAUUACCCUCCCACACCCAAGGCUUGCAGAAGAGCGAGC